GUAAGGGCGCGUAGGCGGUCUUUUAAGUCAGAUGUGAAAGCCCGGGGCUCAACCCCGGAAGUGCAUUUGAAACUGAGGGACUUGAGUAUGGGAGAGGGAAGUGGAAUUCCUGGUGUAGAGGUGAAAUUCGUAGAUAUCAGGAGGAACACCGGAGGCGAAGGCGACUUUCUGGACCAAUACUGACGCUGAGGCGCGAAGGCGUGGGGAGCAAACAGGAUUAGAUACCCUGGUAGUCCACGCAUGAAACGGAGAACACUAGGUGUAGCGGGGAUUGACCCCUGCUGUGCCGCAAUUUACGCAUUAAGUGGUCCCCCUGGGGAGUACCACCGCAAGGAUAAAACUCAAAGGAAUUGACGGGGGCCCCCAACAGCGGGGGAACAUGUGGUUUAAUUCGACGCAACGCGAAAAACCUUACCUGGAUUUGACAUCCCGAGAAAUCUUUUGAAAAAAAGAUGUGGCCUUCGGGGAACUCGGAGACAGGAGCUGCAUGGCUGGCGUCAGCUCGUGUCGUGAGAUGUUGGGUUAAGUCCCGUAACGAGCGCAACCCCUAUCUUUAGUUACCAUCAUUAAGUUGGGGACUCUACUCAUACUGCACCGGUUAACGCGGAGGAGAGUGGGGAUGACGUCAAGUCCUCAUGUCCUUUAUAUUCUGAGCUACACUCCUGCUACACUGCGCUGUACAAUAGGUCGCACACUCGCGAGGGUGGACUAAUCCCAUACCGUAGCUCUGAUUUCGGUUUGGAGUGUGCAACUCAACU
Molecule: ribosomal RNA, 758 nt
Filed under: uncultured bacterium
Lineage: Bacteria
Description: bacterial SSU rRNA
Rfam family: Bacterial small subunit ribosomal RNA
Source: RNAcentral